This 18-nucleotide transfer RNA is filed under the name Sedum bulbiferum. RNAcentral describes it as "partial tRNA-Leu". Lineage: Eukaryota; Viridiplantae; Streptophyta; Magnoliopsida; Saxifragales; Crassulaceae. The record is from RNAcentral. RNAcentral also lists the same sequence under 1 other name.
AAUCCCCUAAAAAGUAGC